CUCAUUGCCCAGCGGACCCCAGCCUCUGCCAGGUUCGGUCCGCCAUCCUCGUCCCGUCCUCCGCCGGCCUCUGCCCGGCGCCCAGUGAUCCUCCAUCUCUUUUCCCUGGCGCCCUCGGUUCGCUCCGGACACCAUGGACAAGUUUUGGUGGCACGCAGCCUGGGGACUCUGCCUCGUGCCGCUGAGCCUGGCGCAGAUCGAUUUGAAUAUAACCUGCCGCUUUGCAGGUGUAUUCCACGUGGAGAAAAAUGGUCGCUACAGCAUCUCUCGGACGGAGGCCGCUGACCUCUGCAAGGCUUUCAAUAGCACCUUGCCCACAAUGGCCCAGAUGGAGAAAGCUCUGAGCAUCGGAUUUGAGACCUGCAGGUACGGGUUCAUAGAAGGGCACGUGGUGAUUCCUCGGAUCCACCCCAACUCCAUCUGUGCAGCAAACAACACAGGGGUGUACAUCCUCACUUCCAACACCUCCCAGUAUGACACAUAUUGCUUCAAUGCUUCAGCCUACUGCAAAUCCAAACACAGGUUUGGUGGAAGACUUGGACAGGACAGGACCUCUUUCAAUGACAACGCAGCAGAGUAA
RNAcentral lists this small RNA (580 nucleotides) under Pongo abelii (Sumatran orangutan). Its description in RNAcentral is "processed transcript". Lineage: Eukaryota; Metazoa; Chordata; Mammalia; Primates; Hominidae. The record is from RNAcentral.